RNAcentral lists this ribosomal RNA (818 nucleotides) under Ramularia vizellae. RNAcentral describes it as "eukaryotic LSU rRNA". It matches the Rfam family "Eukaryotic large subunit ribosomal RNA", at positions 67 to 916 of the family's 3401-position model. Lineage: Eukaryota; Fungi; Ascomycota; Dothideomycetes; Mycosphaerellales; Mycosphaerellaceae. The record is from RNAcentral.
AACAGGGAUUGCCCUAGUAACGGCGAGUGAAGCGGCAACAGCUCAAAUUUGAAAUCUGGCGCAAGCCCGAGUUGUAAUUUGUAGAGGAUGCUUCUAGGUAGCGACCGGUCUAAGUUCCUUGGAACAGGACGUCAUAGAGGGUGAGAAUCCCGUAUGUGACUGGCCCGCACCUUCUACGUAGCUCCUUCGACGAGUCGAGUUGUUUGGGAAUGCAGCUCUAAAUGGGAGGUAAAUUUCUUCUAAAGCUAAAUACCGGCCAGAGACCGAUAGCGCACAAGUAGAGUGAUCGAAAGAUGAAAAGCACUUUGGAAAGAGAGUUAAAAAGCACGUGAAAUUGUUGAAAGGGAAGCGCUCACAACCAGACUUCUAGGCAGUGUUCCGCCGGUCUUUUGACCGGUCUACUCUCUGUCUCGAGGCCAACAUCAUCUGGGACCGCUGGAUAAGACCUUAGGAAUGUAGCUCCCCUCGGGGAGUGUUAUAGCCUCUGGUGAUGCAGCGAGUCUCGGGUGAGGUCCGCGCUUCGGCAAGGAUGUUGGCGUAAUGGUUGUCAGCGGCCCGUCUUGAAACACGGACCAAGGAGUCUAACAUCUAUGCGAGUGUUCGGGUGUCAAACCCCUACGCGUAAUGAAAGUGAACGGAGGUGGGAAGCGUAAGCUGCACCAUCGACCGAUCCUGAUGUCCUCGGAUGGAUUUGAGUAAGAGCAUAGCUGUUGGGACCCGAAAGAUGGUGAACUAUGCCUGAAUAGGGUGAAGCCAGAGGAAACUCUGGUGGAGGCUCGCAGCGGUUCUGACGUGCAAAUCGAUCGUCAAAUUUGGGU